This 1552-nucleotide ribosomal RNA is filed under the name Salmonella enterica subsp. enterica serovar Norwich str. CFSAN001077. Its description in RNAcentral is "bacterial SSU rRNA". It matches the Rfam family "Bacterial small subunit ribosomal RNA". Lineage: Bacteria; Pseudomonadati; Pseudomonadota; Gammaproteobacteria; Enterobacterales; Enterobacteriaceae. The record is from RNAcentral.
AAAUUGAAGAGUUUGAUCAUGGCUCAGAUUGAACGCUGGCGGCAGGCCUAACACAUGCAAGUCGAACGGUAACAGGAAGCAGCUUGCUGCUUUGCUGACGAGUGGCGGACGGGGGAGUAAUGUCUGGGAAACUGCCUGAUGGAGGGGGAUAACUACUGGAAACGGUGGCUAAUACCGCAUAACGUCGCAAGACCAAAGAGGGGGACCUUCGGGCCUCUUGCCAUCAGAUGUGCCCAGAUGGGAUUAGCUAGUUGGUGAGGUAACGGCUCACCAAGGCGACGAUCCCUAGCUGGUCUGAGAGGAUGACCAGCCACACUGGAACUGAGACACGGUCCAGACUCCUACGGGAGGCAGCAGUGGGGAAUAUUGCACAAUGGGCGCAAGCCUGAUGCAGCCAUGCCGCGUGUAUGAAGAAGGCCUUCGGGUUGUAAAGUACUUUCAGCGGGGAGGAAGGUGUUGUGGUUAAUAACCGCAGCAAUUGACGUUACCCGCAGAAGAAGCACCGGCUAACUCCGUGCCAGCAGCCGCGGUAAUACGGAGGGUGCAAGCGUUAAUCGGAAUUACUGGGCGUAAAGCGCACGCAGGCGGUCUGUCAAGUCGGAUGUGAAAUCCCCGGGCUCAACCUGGGAACUGCAUUCGAAACUGGCAGGCUUGAGUCUUGUAGAGGGGGGUAGAAUUCCAGGUGUAGCGGUGAAAUGCGUAGAGAUCUGGAGGAAUACCGGUGGCGAAGGCGGCCCCCUGGACAAAGACUGACGCUCAGGUGCGAAAGCGUGGGGAGCAAACAGGAUUAGAUACCCUGGUAGUCCACGCCGUAAACGAUGUCUACUUGGAGGUUGUGCCCUUGAGGCGUGGCUUCCGGAGCUAACGCGUUAAGUAGACCGCCUGGGGAGUACGGCCGCAAGGUUAAAACUCAAAUGAAUUGACGGGGGCCCGCACAAGCGGUGGAGCAUGUGGUUUAAUUCGAUGCAACGCGAAGAACCUUACCUGGUCUUGACAUCCACAGAACUUUCCAGAGAUGGAUUGGUGCCUUCGGGAACUGUGAGACAGGUGCUGCAUGGCUGUCGUCAGCUCGUGUUGUGAAAUGUUGGGUUAAGUCCCGCAACGAGCGCAACCCUUAUCCUUUGUUGCCAGCGAUUAGGUCGGGAACUCAAAGGAGACUGCCAGUGAUAAACUGGAGGAAGGUGGGGAUGACGUCAAGUCAUCAUGGCCCUUACGACCAGGGCUACACACGUGCUACAAUGGCGCAUACAAAGAGAAGCGACCUCGCGAGAGCAAGCGGACCUCAUAAAGUGCGUCGUAGUCCGGAUUGGAGUCUGCAACUCGACUCCAUGAAGUCGGAAUCGCUAGUAAUCGUGGAUCAGAAUGCCACGGUGAAUACGUUCCCGGGCCUUGUACACACCGCCCGUCACACCAUGGGAGUGGGUUGCAAAAGAAGUAGGUAGCUUAACCUUCGGGAGGGCGCUUACCACUUUGUGAUUCAUGACUGGGGUGAAGUCGUAACAAGGUAACCGUAGGGGAACCUGCGGUUGGAUCACCUCCUUACCUUAAAGAA